AAAUCACAUUCAUGUUGAGUUACAAACAAAUUCAGGUCCCAUGGACACUAGUACUAUAAAAUGAGUUCACAGCUGGUAGUGGCACAUUUCUGGGAAACCUCAUUUUUCCUAUUAAUACUGUUUGCUGCAUUUUUGUCCAUACGAGGUCUCUGGAGAGCCACUAGAGCUGCCAGAGUACCUUGCCAAGGAAGGUGAACGGCUGAUGAAUGCUUCAUUAUCAUCAUCAGAACUCUUGGGUCCAUGCGGUUCCGGACAAUUAACUGCGUCUUCUGUAAGUACCUUAAAUUCUUACAAAAUGGAUUACGUCGCAAUUCUAUUAGGCUUGGUCAUCUAUUGUCUAUUAAUCUCUAUAGUGAUAAUAUUAAAUGAAGCUUUCUGCAAAUCGGCUUGUUUGCGAAACACGCGUCUAGCCCUCAGCCAACGUACGGAAGACAUAGAAUUGAACGAGAGACUGCCGUCAAAGAAACUGGCAUCGAAGAAACUGGGUAGGGGACAUCCUUACAGCGAUCCAAUUUUGAAACAACCAACAAAAUUUUGAAAUAAACUAAUUUACUUAA
This is a long non-coding RNA of Leptidea sinapis, 557 nucleotides long. RefSeq lists it as uncharacterized. The record is from RefSeq and is a predicted model, not a curated record. Lineage: Eukaryota; Metazoa; Arthropoda; Insecta; Lepidoptera; Pieridae. The transcript has 4 exons.